This 428-nucleotide ribosomal RNA is filed under the name Bacteroidota bacterium. RNAcentral's name for it is "Bacteroidetes bacterium partial 16S ribosomal RNA". It matches the Rfam family "Bacterial small subunit ribosomal RNA", at positions 355 to 776 of the family's 1533-position model. Lineage: Bacteria; Pseudomonadati; Bacteroidota. The record is from RNAcentral.
UAGGGAAUCUUCGGCAAUGGGGGGAACCCUGACCGAGCAACGCCGCGUGAGUGAAGAAGGUUUUCGGAUCGUAAAGCUCUGUUGUUAAGGAAGAACGAGUGUGAGAAUGGAAAGUUCAUACUGUGACGGUACUUAACCAGAAAGGGACACUAACUACGUGCCAGCAGCCGCGGUAAUACGUAGGUCCCGAGCGUUGUCCGGAUUUAUUGGGCGUAAAGCGAGCGCAGGCGGUUAGAUAAGUCUGAAGUUAAAGGCAGUGGCUCAACCAUUGUAGGCUUUGGAAACUGUUUAACUUGAGUGCAGAAGGGGAGAGUGGAAUUCCAUGUGUAGCGGUGAAAUGCGUAGAUAUAUGGAGGAACACCGGUGGCGAAAGCGGCUCUCUGGUCUGUAACUGACGCUGAGGCUCGAAAGCGUGGGGAGCGAACAGG